CAAUGUAUUGUCGGGGGCUGGUUGGAAUGGCGCAUCUGCGCUGUACUUGCCGGCCCUGUCUGCACAUUACCCCUGUUUUUUGCGUACCUACCUGUUUCCUCGGCAGGCUUGCCUGCCAGUGGACCUCUUAUAAACCUUUUUGUACUUGCAAUCAGCGUCAGAAGAUUUGAAUGGUUA
RNAcentral lists this unclassified non-coding RNA (177 nucleotides) under soil metagenome. RNAcentral's name for it is "partial internal transcribed spacer 1". The record is from RNAcentral.